RNAcentral lists this ribosomal RNA (493 nucleotides) under uncultured bacterium. RNAcentral's name for it is "partial 16S ribosomal RNA". It matches the Rfam family "Bacterial small subunit ribosomal RNA", at positions 30 to 523 of the family's 1533-position model. The record is from RNAcentral.
AUUGAACGCUGGCGGCAUGCUUUACACAUGCAAGUCGAACGGUAACAGGUUAAGCUGUCGAGUGGCGAACGGGUGAGUAAUGCAUCGGAACGUGCCCGGUCGUGGGGGAUAACGCAGCGAAAGCUGCGCUAAUACCGCAUACGAUCUGAGGAUGAAAGCGGGGGACCGUAAGGCCUCGCGCGAUCGGAGCGGCCGAUGUCAGAUUAGGUAGUUGGUGGGGUAAAGGCUCACCAAGCCAACGAUCUGUAGCUGGUCUGAGAGGACGGCCAGCCAAACUGGGACUGAGACACGGCCCAGACUCCUACGGGAAGCAGCAGUGGGGAAUUUUGGACAAUGGGCGAAAGCCUGAUCCAGCAAUGCCGCGUGCAGGAAGAAGGCCUUCGGGUUGUAAACUGCUUUUGUACGGAGCGAAAAGGUCUCCUCUAAUACAGGGGGCUCAUGACGGUACCGUAAGAAUAAGCACCGGCUAACUACGUGCCAGCAGCCGCCGUAA